GUUGUAUAGUUAAGUGACUAAGCGUACAAGGUGGAUGCCUUGGCAAUCAGAGGCGAAGAAGGACGUGCUAAUCUGCGAAAAGCUUGGAUGAGUCGAUAAGAGGCGUUUAAUCCAAGAUAUCCGAAUGGGGAAACCCAGUAGAUGAAGAAUCUACUAUCAACAAGUGAAUUCAUAGCUUGUUGAGGCAAACCGGGAGAACUGAAACAUCUAAGUACCCCGAGGAAAAGAAAUCAACCGAGAUUUCGUCAGUAGCGGCGAGCGAAAGCGAAAGAGCCAGUAAGUGAUAG
RNAcentral lists this ribosomal RNA (287 nucleotides) under Haemophilus influenzae. RNAcentral describes it as "partial 23S ribosomal RNA". It matches the Rfam family "Bacterial large subunit ribosomal RNA", at positions 1 to 281 of the family's 2925-position model. Lineage: Bacteria; Pseudomonadati; Pseudomonadota; Gammaproteobacteria; Pasteurellales; Pasteurellaceae. The record is from RNAcentral.